RNAcentral lists this transfer RNA (774 nucleotides) under uncultured cyanobacterium. RNAcentral's name for it is "partial contains 16S ribosomal RNA, 16S-23S ribosomal RNA intergenic spacer, and 23S ribosomal RNA". The stretch from base 268 to 340 matches the Rfam family "tRNA". Lineage: Bacteria; Bacillati; Cyanobacteriota. The record is from RNAcentral.
CAGGGAGACAACACAAUGAUUUUGGUGCCUGAGUACUUUUAUUCUUAGGCCGAAAUCCUGUCACCUUAGGUCGAUCGGUACCUCAGCUUUGAAGUCAAGGAUCACCAGCAAUGUUGAUUGCUUGAUGGAGAUUUUCAGUUCCUAAACUUUGUCUAGGUCACACCCCAAAAGGGAUGAGACUCCUGGGCCAUUAGCUCAGGUGGUUAGAGCGCACCCCUGAUAAGGGUGAGGUCCCUGGUUCAAGUCCAGGAUGGCCCAUUCGGUGUUGGGGGUUUAGCUCAGUUGGUAGAGCGCCUGCUUUGCAAGCAGGAUGUCAGGAGUUCGAGUCUCCUAACCUCCACUGACCGAACUUGAUUCCCAUCUCCAAUUUUUUUGGAGUUGAGCUCGAUUGGAGGGUGAUUUAGAUGUGUCCGCUGGAUGACCCCAGCUUCCUGUCAUUCCAAGUUUUAGGUUGAAGCCUUGAAUUUGGUUGAUAAGAUGCUGGGCUCGGAUCAAAUGAUCAAGCAAUUGAUCAUCUGAUUUGAAGUUCUAGCAGAACCUUGACAACUGCAUAGGUGAGUCUGGAAAAAACAAAGCAUCUACAGAUGCAUUGUUUUGAAUCUGAUCUUCUGAAAAGGAGGUUGGAUCUAGAACAAUGAAAAUUCUUUUGAGCAAGAGCCGAGACUCUUGAACGUUCUUUAAGUCGUGUCGAGCGAAUUAAAGUUUGAUCUUGUUUUUAGCAAUAAAAACUUGAGAAUCUGCUUUCAACGGUGGUAAGCGUUCAGGAGGUUAAUU